This 790-nucleotide long non-coding RNA is filed under the name Salmo salar (Atlantic salmon). RNAcentral's name for it is "lncRNA (ENSSSAG00000110690.1)". The record is from RNAcentral. Lineage: Eukaryota; Metazoa; Chordata; Actinopteri; Salmoniformes; Salmonidae.
GUAUAAUGUGUUAGUAGAAUAAUGUGUUAGCAGUAUAAUGUGUUAGUAGUAUAAUGUGUUAGUAGUAUAAUGUGUUAGUAUAUUGUGUUAGUAGUAUAAUAUGGUAGUAGUAUAAUGUGGUAGUAGUAUAAUGUGGUAGUAGUAUAAUAUGUUAGUAUAAUGUGGUAGUAUAUUGUGUUAGUAUAAUGUGGUAGUAGUAUAAUGUGUUAGGAGUAUAAUGUGUCAGGGGUAUAAUGUGUUAGUAUAUAAUGUGUUAGUAGUAUAAUGUGGUAGUAGUAUAAUGUGUUAGUAUAAUGUGGUAGUAGUAUAAUGUGUUAGUAGUAUAAUGUGUUAGUAGUAUAGUGUGUCAGGGGUAUAAUGUGUUAGUAGUAUAAUGUGUUAGUAGUAUAAUGUGUUAGCAUAAUGUGUUAGUAUAAUGUGUUAGUAGUAUAAUGUGUUAGUAGUAUAAUGUGUUAGUAGUAUAAUGUGUUAGUAUAAUGUGUUAGUAUAGUGUGUUAGUAGUAUAAUGUGUUGGUAGUAUAGUGUGUCAGGGGUAUAAUGUGUUAGUAGUAUAACGUGUUAGUAGUAUAAUGUGUUAGUAGUAUAGUGUGUCAGGGGUAUAAUGUGUCAGGGGUAUAAUGUGUUAGUAGUAUAAUGGGUUAGUGUAGUGUGUCAGGGGUAUUGUCACGUCCUGGCCAGUAUAAGGGAUAAUUGGUAUUGUAGUUUGGUCAGGACGUGGCAGAGGGUAUUCGUUUUAUGGUAUUCGGCGUGGUGUGUUUGUUGUAGGGGAUUUGAUUUGUGUAUUCCGGAG